AUUGAACGCUGGCGGCAGGCCUAACACAUGCAAGUCGAACGAGUGGCGGACGGGUGAGUAAUGUCUGGGAAACUGCCCGAUGGAGGGGGAUAACUAAUGGAAACGGUAGCUAAUACCGCAUACCAUCGGAUGUGCCCAGAUGGGAUUAGCUAGUAGGUGGGGUAACGGCUCACCUAGGCGACGAUCCCUAGCUGGUCUGAGAGGAUGACAAGCCACACUGGAACUGAGAGACGGUCCAGACUCCUACGGGAGGAAGCAGUGGGGAAGAGUGCAAAAUGGGCGCAAGCCUGAUGCAGCCAUGCCGCGUGGAUGAAGAAGGCCUGCGGGUUGUAAAGUACUUUAAGCGGGGAGGCGUUACCCGCAGAAGAAGCACCGGCUAACUCCGUGCCAGCAGCCGCGGUAAUUC
This 406-nucleotide ribosomal RNA is filed under the name uncultured bacterium. RNAcentral describes it as "partial 16S ribosomal RNA". It matches the Rfam family "Bacterial small subunit ribosomal RNA", at positions 29 to 526 of the family's 1533-position model. The record is from RNAcentral.